AGAACACCUACCUUGUGUUUAUAAGUAGGCUAAAAGGUUAAACAACUCUUUCAUAUAAUUAAUUUCACAGAUGAGCAACAUUUUUCACCAUUUUCACUUCUAUUACUAUUUUCUGUUUUUUUUUCUUUUUCUUUUUUUGCUGUCUUUAACACUGUGUUUACAUAUCUCUGACAGGUGUACAAAACAACCUGAAUGAAAUGGGAUUACCCGAAAUCAAUCAUGUGCGAUACUAAAGUACUUCCUAUUAAAUAUUAAUCACUCCAUAAAUUCUCUCCCAGCUCCCGCACGAACAUCAGCCUGCUGCAGAAACGGGCACGCUACAACAGUUUCCUUGCCGGCAUCCCGAGCCGACUGUAAUAAAAACGACAUCAAAAAAGACGCAAUUAUGUAACGGACCUUGCUAAACGCCUCGUUUCCCAGAGGGACGGAGGAGAGCGGGGCUGCUCGUGUCCCUGUCCCCACACUCCCACCUCAGCACACGGAGAGCAGCGGCCAGAGGGGCCGGGGCUCCCCCAGGGAGCGCUUUAAACCCUCCCGGGCGGCUGCCGCUGCUGUCACCGCCUCUCUCGGCCGCUAAACGCCCACACCUGAGCCUUGGUACCUCCGCGGGCCGCUGGCUCAGCGCUAAGCACCCACUGGGCUCCCCGGCGCCUCGGGAGCGCCGGCUGAGGAAGGACGCGGGACAAACCUGGCCGCAACAACAGGCGACAAGUAGUUGUGCAGCCCGUCCGGCGCCCGGGGGCCCUGGGGGUACGGACCCCGCACCCCGCGGGUCCCGGCAGCGCUGCCUGCCCUCGCCUCACUCCUUCUCCGGGACCAGGCGGGGGAUCGCCCCUAUCGACUCUACCCCCGGCGGCUGCCAAAAUCCCCGCCGAAGGGGUAGUGGGAUAGAAGCCCCACGACUCGAGGCCAGCUAGAAAUUACUCUGUUGAAUGAUGCAGCAAACGGUGGACUGGGGGGGAAUCGGUGUAGGGCUGGUGCUCCGUUGCCACUCGCCAGUGCUAAUUAAUAACGCACGGGUUCCCUGCCGAAGCGAAAAGAGCUCUCUCCCCUCCGCGCACCCGGCGAUUAAUAGCAACCUUCAUCCCGCGCAACCUUUCGCUCGGCACUCCCCCACACUCACAGGCUGAGGUGGCAAGCACUCAGGAGCACGGCAGCGGCAACCUCUGCCUCACAGUCCGGGG
This 1184-nucleotide long non-coding RNA is filed under the name Numida meleagris (helmeted guineafowl). RNAcentral describes it as "lncRNA (ENSNMEG00000011207.1)". Lineage: Eukaryota; Metazoa; Chordata; Aves; Galliformes; Numididae. The record is from RNAcentral.